GAAUGAUUGGCGAGCUUGACUUGACUCCUCUGUAUGGCUCAGUGGGUGUCGCCUUCCUCAGUUCCCACUCCACGAGCAUCCCUCCUGAAGCUGUGCGUUGGGAGGAUGGACUUCCCCAGAGAUAAAGGAGAUAGAGGAGGUCCAUUCCUGAGCCAAUGGCACAUCAGCAGCCAUGUUCCCCUGCUGCUGCAAGAACUCCAAAGGAGCUUUCAAGGUCCAUUUGUAAGAGGCUAUAAGUGAGGUUUCUAAGACUCCAGAUGCAUUUAAAUGAGGUGCUGCGUGUGAACUGCUGUCU
RNAcentral lists this small nuclear RNA (295 nucleotides) under Microtus ochrogaster (prairie vole). RNAcentral describes it as "7SK RNA (ENSMOCG00000009956.1)". It matches the Rfam family "7SK RNA", at positions 38 to 331 of the family's 331-position model. Rfam says of the family: 7SK was discovered as an abundant small nuclear RNA in the mid-70s but a possible function has only recently been suggested. Two independent studies have found that 7SK RNA binds the CDK9/cyclin T complex (known as elongation factor P-TEFb). P-TEFb activates transcription by phosphorylating the C-terminal domain of RNA polymerase II. The record is from RNAcentral. Lineage: Eukaryota; Metazoa; Chordata; Mammalia; Rodentia; Cricetidae.